Austrofundulus limnaeus is the source of this 351-nucleotide long non-coding RNA. RefSeq lists it as uncharacterized. Lineage: Eukaryota; Metazoa; Chordata; Actinopteri; Cyprinodontiformes; Rivulidae. The transcript is spliced from 3 exons. The record is from RefSeq and is a predicted model, not a curated record.
GAGACAGAUGAUGCUCGUGCGGCAUUUGCAGGAUGGUCAUCAAGAUUUUAACACCAGAGGGAGUGGAAAUCUGGCAAACAUGUCGUCUCCGCCCAUGGGGCCCAACAUGGCAAAUGAAAUAUGAUUGAGGCGUUUUGGUGAUUUUCACCUCAUGCCUCCCCGUGUAUCUGGCAACGCCGAUUGAACGCACCUGCAAGGAACUUGCUCAUCACUGCUGGUUUUAAAAGGAAGACCUGAGGAUCAACUCGUCGCUGAAGCAUCAAACCGCUUUUGAAAUAAGGAAAUCACCUUGGAACUGUUUUGGAUCCCAAUCACGUCUGCCUGCCUGCCAAGCCUCUCACCUGUUCCAUG